CAUCCAAAGCAGAACAAAGGAUCACAGAAAGGUGUGGAUGUUAGCCAGUCACCAGAUGUGGAUCAGCAUAGAAACAUGGAUUUGCCGUGCUUCCAACAUCCUCAAAGGCAUCUAAUUGUUCAGGACAUACCGAGUAUCUGCACUUACAGAAAUCAAGCCUUGAGUGGAACUCCCCUGAAAGCAAGGCACUGGGAAGCUGAGAUUAGUUUUCAGAAAGAUGGGAUGGCUGGAGGCAGGUGAGGUGUGUGGGACAGGCAGCAGCAGCAGCACCCAGCCCUGCUGGCCGAGAUACAGCACAGCUGCACCCCUGGUCCCCCCAGACCCAAGCUUUGCACCCUGAAAAAUCUCAGAGCAGUUUCUGCUUAUUGAAGAACAGAACGCCUCAGAGCACUCUUGGGAGGUACUAUAGAAAAGUGAGGAAGCAAAUAUAAAUCCACAUUAUGCUCCAUCCUGUCAUUACCUGGAACUUCCCAGCCAUCUUAGGGAUAUGCAGACAAGAAAGAAAGAAAAAAAAAAAAAGCAAGGGCUUCCCUGCGUGGAUCUCUUCAGUUCAUGGUACCUCUUAAAGAGAAGUUUUCCUCCUUGGAAGCCAAAUGCAGUGCUCCCUGCUGUGAUGGAUUCCUUCUUGUUCCUUCCUAAUUGGAGCGAUUUCAUCAGAUCGAAUUUUGACAAAGAUAGUAAUUGUCAUCCAAUUUUAAGGCAAUGACAAGAUCAAUAUGAAUUCUCAGAUGACAAGUAUUAUUACUGGGUGAGCACAAAGAAACAAAGAAAAUGAAAAAUCCAUGUUCUAGGGAUCAAAACAGUUAGAGGCACAUGCUUGCCUUGAUCCACGUGUGCGUGAAUCCUGUUGACAACAAUAGAUGCUGUGCAUGUGGAUGGAUGGGGUAGAACAGAUGGCUUUUGCCAGUCAAAUAGCAAAGGAAAACGAGCACCCAGUGCUUUAGUACAUUGCAGUUUCAGUAAUGUGGGAGUCAAUUAACUUACCACCAACAGGCUUGCAGGGAAAAUUACCUACAGCCCCAUCUCAGACAAUUUUGCUGCUUCUUAACAUGUUCUACUCCUUCUGUUUCCUGAAUGUCAGGAGUAAAUACCUAAGCAAAUCCCAGUUCUUUAAGGUAAAUAUAUUCAACCCACAUGUAUGGAGGCAGAAGCACUUGAUUAUUUUUAUAACGUUGUUUAAAUGAGAUGAUCUGACUAGUUAAUGGCGCAAAGAGUUCAGAUAGGGUUCAAAUUAGGAUCUAAAAUGUGUUGCAGCAUCUUUAGACAUUUUCCUCACAGUUGUGGUUUUGGGAUGGAUUCUGCCACGUAUGUUUAACUGUUGCCAGAUACUGUCAUUUUGGUUUAGUAGGUUUACCCUGGAACAAGACACUUCUUCCAGACAUUUGACCCUCAGAGCUCAGCUCUUGCUCUACAUUUGCUGCUCAAUGUGCAUUCAAGUUACAUCUGUAGGGGUGCUCUGCACACAUUCAUCUUGCUGUUAAACCAGACCUCUUGCUUUCCCACCCACAAAAUGCUAAAUCCAAGG
Long non-coding RNA from Apus apus (common swift), 1525 nucleotides. RefSeq lists it as uncharacterized. Lineage: Eukaryota; Metazoa; Chordata; Aves; Apodiformes; Apodidae. The record is from RefSeq and is a predicted model, not a curated record. The transcript is spliced from 6 exons.